AACAAGCACAUAAAUCUCCUCUUGCAUACAGAAAGCCAAGGGCAUAGCAGAGGAAGAGUUCUCAACAAAGUGAACUGAAAGGUGAAUUGCCUACAAAGCCAGACUGAAAAGUCCAGACUACAUCCCGUAAGCAUAAGGAGCUACCCACGAAGUUUUUAGUAAGCUGAAAUGAAGGUGCUGGAAGAUGAAAAAGGAGCUGUUGAAGUUGUAUGCAACAUUUUCACCCUAUUCCUUGGAUUUCUGCCUAACAAUAGCCUAGAAGCUAUGACAGCAAGUGGCAACGAAUAUACCAAGUAUCCUGGUGUGGGUUUCUAAAUACCAUUCUCUACUAAAAGAAUCUGGAGUUUCUUGAAAAAAUGGCUGACUGACAAGCUAGGUAAGUAUAAAAUAAGUCUGAAAUCCAUUUUUGUCCCAAAAGUGCUCAAAGAAUAACUACAGUAUGGGAAAAAGAUAUAGAAGUCAGUGUAAAAGAGUUGCCACUGGCAAACUCUGGGAAAUAAUGACAGUGACUGGUUAUAGCCCACUAACCAAAAUAAGAAUCCAUGAAUCCACACUGAUAUAAACAAACAGACAAGAAAAUAAAGUUCUAUUUUAUAUACAAUGGUGAUAUCAUUUGACUGUGUCCCCACCCAAAUCUCAUGUUGAAUUGUAGCUCCCAUAAUCCCCAUGUGUCAUGGGAGGCAAUUGAAUCAUGGGGGCAGGUUUUCCCAUGCUGUUCUCAUGAUAGGGAAUAAGU
Molecule: non-coding RNA, 736 nt
Organism: Macaca mulatta (Rhesus monkey)
Lineage: Eukaryota; Metazoa; Chordata; Mammalia; Primates; Cercopithecidae
Source: RefSeq, a predicted model, not a curated record